GCUGACAACAUGAGGCACGUGCU
RNAcentral lists this microRNA (23 nucleotides) under Xenopus laevis (African clawed frog). Its description in RNAcentral is "Xla-Mir-430-o4a_5p (mature (guide))". Lineage: Eukaryota; Metazoa; Chordata; Amphibia; Anura; Pipidae. The record is from RNAcentral.